CCUACGGGUGGCAGCAGUGGGGAAUAUUGGACAAUGGGCGAAAGCCUGAUCCAGCCAUGCCGCGUGUGUGAAGAAGGCCUUCGGGUUGUAAAGCACUUUCAGUGGGGAAGAAAGCCUUGGGGCUAAUACCCUCGAGGAAGGACAUCACCCACAGAAGAAGCACCGGCUAACUCCGUGCCAGCAGCCGCGGUAAUACGGAGGGUGCGAGCGUUAAUCGGAAUUACUGGGCGUAAAGCGCGCGUAGGCGGUCUGAUAAGCCGGUUGUGAAAGCCCCGGGCUCAACCUGGGAACGGCAUCCGGAACUGACAGGCUAGAGUGCAGGAGAGGAAGGUAGAAUUCCCGGUGUAGCGGUGAAAUGCGUAGAGAUCGGGAGGAAUACCAGUGGCGAAGGCGGCCUUCUGGACUGACACUGACGCUGAGGUGCGAAAGCGUGGGUAGCAAACAGGAUUAGAUACCCGAGUAGUC
RNAcentral lists this ribosomal RNA (465 nucleotides) under Vreelandella stevensii. RNAcentral describes it as "partial 16S ribosomal RNA". It matches the Rfam family "Bacterial small subunit ribosomal RNA", at positions 338 to 795 of the family's 1533-position model. Lineage: Bacteria; Pseudomonadati; Pseudomonadota; Gammaproteobacteria; Oceanospirillales; Halomonadaceae. The record is from RNAcentral.